Aegilops tauschii subsp. strangulata is the source of this 6800-nucleotide non-coding RNA. The record is from RefSeq and is a predicted model, not a curated record. NCBI's taxonomy places the organism in Eukaryota, Viridiplantae, Streptophyta, Magnoliopsida, Poales, Poaceae.
UGAAGAGAUUGAUGAGCCUUCCUAAUCAGGCGGGCCAAAGCAUUGAUAUCCUGAAGAAGCACAAUGUUAUCAGAUCUCUUCUUAACAUUUUGCAGGUAACAAUCGAGCCUGUAUUUGAAUCUUGUGGCUUUGUAAGCGUAAACUGCAAUGUUGUUAGUUGUUUAUUGUUGUGAAGUUCUUUACUUAAUUUAUAAAUUCACUAUAAAAUUGUGGUUGUCUACUUAAAGAAAUGAUAUUUGUUAGGCGACCAAACUCACUUGCAUGUCAUUCCUUAAGAAGAUCAGUCUCCCAAAUGCUUUAGUUUGUUGCUAGCCAAGGCAAACAAAUUUAUGUAAUCUGCCCCGUGAGAGGGCGUGGUCUUUAUCAAGGAGUACACUACGAUGGCGAGCCGACGAUGAUGAAGGCGAGCGUCGGCUCAAUGCGGGGUUGUGGAGGGCGGUGACAGUAAUAAGAGUUGUCUGUAAUGCAUUUUUCAUGCCUAUCUGGUUGUAUCUCCGUAUGUCUUCUUUCCUGUGCUAUAAAUACAAGCAAAUGUGCUACACUCCCUUUGGACCAACCGUAAUGGGUGGUCCUCAUUAACUAUACAUUCAGUUUAAGUUGAUCUGAACUUACAAUUUCUCUAUUGCAACACAUGCCUAACGUCCUCAUGUGCACUAAGUACGAGAUGCUUCCUUUCCUAAAAAAAAUCAAUCUGUGAUGAACAUCGGCUCGUAUAAUUUAAUUAUUUUGGAGACCUAUCCAUGUGUUUAUCUGCUAAGCCUCCUAGAAAUAUGUUCAUGUCACAACAUGGACCAAACAAGCAAGUUGAAUGGGCAGCAGCAAAUGAGGCACCGCACCAUCACGCCUCAAGCGGCGCCACCAGGUGGCGCCCCAACCACUAGUUGAACAUAUAAUUGAACAUAUAAAGGAUGAAGAGGUUGUUAGGCACAACCACUAUGUCCACGUAGGCUAUGAAUAAUGCUCACCUUUUACCUCGCUGGCGUUUGGGUGGGCUGCAGCAAACGGGAUUGGGCAGCCCUUCUCUCUACCAUAAAAAAACAUCUCGUCUAUCCUCUUCCCCGUGACGCCGCCUGCUCUUCCGGCCGCCGGUCUCCUCGGCCUCCACCACCUCCUCCUCCCCUGCCUCUCCUUUUCCCCUGCCUCGGCACCCGAGUGGCACGGCCACAUCACACGGGCGCCCUCACCUUGCUGCAUCCUCUGCGCCGCCGUCAUAGCACCUCCACUCCCGCCUUUGGUUCCCCGCUGCAGCCUCCUGCCCGAUCGCUCGAGAGGGUCGUCAGCGUCGCUGCCGGCGGCGACUUCAGCAGCCGCCUCCUCUCUCCGAUUGGUUACUGCCACGACCUCGGAUCUCGCCAGCCGGCGGCGACUUCAGCGGCCGUAUCCUCUCUCCGAUUGGAGACUUCCACGACCUCGGAUCUCGCCGGCAGUCCCUCGGCUAUCACCGAGGCAGCCAUCAGCGGAGAUUGAGCCGACGCGCGUGCUCGUGCUCGUGGUGGUUUCCCAUAUCUCAGCAGCGCGGAGGAGCCCACAUCCUUGGCCAGAGUUGGGUGUACUUGCAGACGACCUUACUGUCACCAGCACAUCUGCAGUAUUGUAGGGAUGGACAUAUGGAUUGAGUGGUACCCUCGUGAAAGAUACGCAGCUCUCAGCAGCCCUUUUUAAUGUAAGCAGACCCUUGAGCACGAGAGCAACAUGACUGCUAGCUUCCCUCAGAGCAAUUCAAUGGAGCGAAUGUUGGAUGCAUAUUCAAAGGAUAGCCAAGGAGACUUGAUUCCCAUGUAACCUCUGACACAAAGUGCUCUCAAGUUGGCAUUCGGUUGUAACCCUUCGAACACGCCUUCAUGGUCACUGUUGGUGCAGUGUUUGAGAUAAUUCCACCAGAGACUAAAUUCCCACAGCAAGUGGAACAACAUGGAGCUUCAAUCGCGGAGCAGAGUCUUCUUUUCCAUAUUUUUGCAUCGGUUGGCCCAAAGCAUCAACUCGUCUGCAGCUGGGCAGUGUGGGGUAGACUUUGGGGAUCCUUGCAAUGGCGCUUCUCCGCUGGAUGGGUAUGCCUGGUUGAGGUCGAUUCUCUUGUCGUUCUCUCGUGCGUCCACCUUUGCAUCGUUCUGCAUUUGGCAUUGAGGAACCUGUCAUGCGGAGACCUUGCCUGUUGCCUCUUAUGCUAAGCUCUACAAGGCGAUGGAGCUGGAGAUGUUGAGUAUUUCCAGUCUCUUGAAGAACGAAUCAUUAAUAUGAAGGUGUUCAGCCCAUACUUUUCAGUUUGGCUGCUCCAUGAUUAAAGCUACUCCCUCUGUCCACUUUUAUAAGACGUUGAAGACAUUUCAGACAACGUGCAAAGCAGCCCAUUUUCAGUUGUUUGAAACGACUUAUAAAAGUGAACGGAGGGAGUAAUUGACCUAAAACACGUUUCAUGCAACAUUGGAACAGGUUGAUUCUUUAUUUGCUCACACAGUAAAUAGUGCCACCAGCCGCUAACUACAUUUUGUACAGAUUUUGCAGUAAUCUAUAUAUAUGUGUGGUCAUGUUUCACUGGCACCCUCAACUGUUCCAGUUAGUAUUUAGCAGGACGACAUCUUGACCAAUGACUCAAAUUAAUUUUCUCACUGAUCCAGUUUACUCAAGAAUUUGUGACCCAGCUCCAGGACAACUAUGGACUGACGUACGCUAGCUGCUUGCAUCUUUCAGAGGAUCUAAUUAGAGCCAACUAGAUGUGUGUUUUAUCCUCUUGGAACUAUUAAUAUUCACUUAGGGGAGAAGUGCAAGCAGAAGCUGAUUUCAAUUGGAAUAAGUGUGCUAGAAAGUGUGUCGGCAAAUAUUUGGUGCACUAUGAUCUAAAGGAACGUUGUAUAGGUUGUUAUAAAUCCACCAUAACCAGCUUAGUGAUUUACGGAUGACUUCCGCAAGCACACCAGAUGCCCGAGACCAGAACAAAUUAUCAUUUUCAGAUUGGUAGUUGUCCUCCUGAGAUUAUUGUGUGCAUUGCCAAUUGGUGGUGGUCUUUGUUUUUAAGCAGAGUGUUAUUGUGUAGAAAUUAGUAAUCUGAGCUACAAACUAAUUCUCAUACUCGACGACGACUCUAAUUUACUUUGGGACCCUGGUUUCCAUGUCUUGAUUUUAGGGAUGGAGUUUGAUUUAUCAUGAGUCAGUUCCAGGCAUGCAUGUUUUAUGGUGCUAAGCAUUAUAUAUCAUUGAAGAUUUGCCAUUUGUUCAACUUACUGAUAUGCUAAUCGGUAACCUUUAGUUAUUCAUAUAUAAAAAGUACCUUCUGCUGAGCAUAGUAUAUGAUAUCCAGAUUAUAUAUAUCCUUCCAUGAUCUCUUAUUUUUGACAAUUGCCAACGAUUCUGAUUAUUAAACAUCUAUAAACAUUAUGGCAUUGAAGAUUUUGUUCCCAGAUCAGUUGUAGCUACAAGAUAUUCUGAAAUAAAAUCUUGGUUUCAUGCAGAUUCAGAAAUAUAUGAUGUUUGUGGCUUUUUGUGGGCACAAUUUGCCAUCUGAAAUGUGUCACCUGUGCAUAAUUGGUUAAAAUUAACUCGUGCUAAACCAUUUACUAUUGAUUCAUGACAUUCUGUCACCAUUCGACAUCAGUUUUUUUUUUGCCACAAAUGGUAAUAAACUAAACUUUCUGAAAAGUUGUUGCUCACUCCAUAAUGUUGUGAUGUGUCUAUUGCUUUUGUGCUUUACUUGAGUAGUUAACCUUGGGUGGAUGAAACAGAUGUGUGGUAACUUAUGUAUUAUAACAGACACAAUGAGAGUGAUAUUCAUAGUCUUUAUAGUGUAAAAAGAGAAUGCAAUAUUCCUUGUGUGGCUGCAAUUUUCUUUUGAGAAGUUUCUAUAUAUUUUAAUUUUCCAGGACCCUGAAUUUUUCUUCUGAGAAAUUUCUAUGUAUCCUUAAAUAGUUGGAACCUUUGUAAAAAAUAUUAGUGUUCUCACUAUAAGCUCAUUUUAGAAGCUAAGAAUACUGUCUUUUAUGUAAUAUAUCAACAUUGUACUCUGUUGUUUAGUAUACAUUUCACCUAUAGGUCCACUUGCCACUAUUUUAUUUUCUGUCGGUUCCUGUAAUGUCUCAUGGAUAACUUGAAUUUCCUUAGUACAAAUAACUCAACUCUAUUGAUUCAAUUUCGCAUAUAUUUUGCCCAUAUGGUGCUUGGGAUUUGCAUCAUAGUCCAGGAGAUAAAUUAGUCAAUUUCAUAUGCUAUAGGUCAAGUCAAAAUAUUCAAAAGUAGGUCGUUGCAUCAAAUCGCAGGGAGAAGCAGACAAACUAGCAUGUAUGUAAUGUUUAUUUUGCUUUCUGUUGUGUUGUUUUGGUUGAUUGGUUCAGACUAAAAAACCUUGCAAUAUAGACAAGUUUCGACCGAUUAGUGCACUCCAUGUCAAGCUUUGUUUUCUUGUGCAAUUGACUAUGUCAAAAACCUCAAGAUUUUGGUGUCAUUUGUCAUGCUUUGUAUAUUUAAUGCUAUUCUUUGUUUCUUUAAUAAUGGCUCACCAUUUUUACUCAAAAGAGGAUUUCCCAUGAACAUUUUAGCACCGCUCUUAACUAUCGAUCAAAAAAAUGUUAUUCUGUGCAGGUUAGAUCUAGCACAUGCAUCGUCAGAAACUUGUGUUGAGGUCUCUUCCACCAUCGUCAGAAACUUGUGAACUGAUCUAGCACGUGCAUCGUCAGAAACUUUCCAAGAUUAUAGUCUCUUCCAGAAUUUCAAUUGUAAAAGCUUAAUUUAUUUGUGGAGCAGAGAAAGCGUAAGAAGGCAAGUGAGAUUCAUGACAUACAUCAUGAUCAACACUUGAGGAAAAUGGUCUGAACCAUAUUCUCUCGCAAAUAAAAUAUGAUGCAGAUCACCUUGACAAUGCAACUUGAAAAUCAAAGGACAUUAUACAAAAAACAAACAAUUAUUAUUGGGGAUUGGACGAUUGUAUGGAAGCCAUUUUUGCUUUUGCAAAUGACAGCCCACCAUGAAGAACUGCUUAGACGAUGAGGUCAUUUCUGAUACCAAUGGCACAUGCAAUAAUGACUCUACCUGAUGUAAAUGAUUUCAUGUCUUAGUUACCAUAAGUUGAGUGACCAAAGCUAUCUAUACGAUGCAUCCUUGCCUAUGUAUCUGUGAUUAUCAUGAACUCAUCUCAUGCCUUUCUUUUGACCUAUAAACCUACCAUGCAAUGUAAUAUAUAACAUUAUGUAUGAACAUCAUACCUAAAAAUCUAUUUCCUUAUGCUUCAAAUAUUUUAUGAUCGGGCUCUAAAUAUUCUUAUUUGCAUGGUUUGAAAGCAUGGUUCGCUCUCGCCCUUUGCGCCAUUGGCGCAACAGGUCAUCUAGUAUUACGAAAAGUAGAGCAUAUUUACAGUCACAUUUCUCCAUACGGUCUAGGAGAAAGAGCAUUCCGCGAACAAGUGAUCGUCAGCUUCUUCUUGGUGUCCGCAGAGCGCAUAUUUCAGAUUGCAAAGAAUAUGUUUUUUAGUCUUGUGAGAUGUCAGACACCAGCCACACACCACAAGCUAUGUAAAAAUCUUAGUUCGAAGAAGCCUCAUGGCCAUUUAGAUCAAAUAAACAUCCUUGCUAUGGACCUACUCCUCUAAUAAUGUGCAGAUCUUGCCAUGAAUACGCCUCCCUGUCAGGCACCAACAAGCUUCAUCUCCAUACAAGGUCCAGAAAGAAGCCCCGCCCCUCUCGAAGACAUUUUGUCAUGAUUCAUGGGCAUCGAUUGUUUCUGCUCAUACUGGCUCAAUGGCCCCGGUGGAUAUCUUGAUGCGGCCCACUUUGGAGAGGCAGGCCGAGCUGAUGUGCUCUGAGCUCCUUGAUGGAGAGCGUCAUGGAGCGAGCUGAGGCUGCACUGGGCGGGCUCUCCCUGACGCUGCCUGUGUUGCAGACUACUCAUGUGUUGCGCCCUUUGGUUGUGCCCGAUGGCAACUUCGACGCUGAGAAGGGAGACAAGCUUCAUGGUCGUUUCUCCCCUCGUGCUAGGGCCAGCUCACCGCCAUUAGCAUCUGAGGGACUUGACAAUGAUGUGGUUGUGACCCCGGUGCUACAGAUCAUGCCCGAGCUUCGGGAGUUGUGUGGGGGGCCGGUUUUGCCUUUGUGCGUCGACCAACUGCAGAUAGACCCUCCUGAGAUCUCGAGUGUGGCUUUGCCACCAACAUCACCCCUGGAGUCGAGCCAGAUUGUUGAUGCCGAGGAGAGUAGUGAUUUGGACGGUGCAAUCUCUCGCUCGCCCAAGUCCAUUGGGUGUCAGGCGUUAGCCAUCGAGCGUGGAGUUUCAAAUGUUGCUGCCCUUCCCUCAUCUACGACCAUCGAGCAAGUGAUGUCUAUGAGUGACAUGGCCAUUGAGCCAAGUGUGUUGGCACCUACUCCAAAUCCAAAUGCUCUAUUCGCAAAGAAACUUUGUGACUUGCUCGCUAGCGUGGAGGUUGCUAGACCUGGUUUGGGCAGGUCAAUUGCUUGCCUCCUGACGGGGAUGCCAAUAAGGGCCAAACAAAAGAAGAUGGGCAAAGGCAAGAGUGCGUCAUAGGCAAGGCGUCUCUGGUUGCUUGAUGGAUGAUCUUUGGUGUCUCGGCCUGUCCUCUUGGAUUGGGAGGUGCAUGAUGUCUUGCGUCGUGGUGUUCUUGUUGGGAUUCACUUGGCAUACUAGCAGUAUCAGGGUUUGUGGAUGUUGUGCAUUUGGAGAGUCUGGCAAGGGCCGACUGUGCGGUUGUGGGAUUUCUUGCCAUGUGAGUAGUUAGUCUGUGCUCUAUUUGUGUGGGUUUUCGCCCGGUUUUCCUUAAAUUAACCGGGCAAUUCUCUUCUUCUUAAUUAAUCGAUGAGGCAAAA